This 6333-nucleotide long non-coding RNA is filed under the name Gossypium barbadense (sea-island cotton). RNAcentral's name for it is "long non-coding RNA (GBAR_LNC011636)". Lineage: Eukaryota; Viridiplantae; Streptophyta; Magnoliopsida; Malvales; Malvaceae. The record is from RNAcentral.
AAAACUCCUUUAGAAACAUAAAAAAAAAUAAAAGAAAAAAAAGGAGCUCAUCUGUAUUGUCAUCCUCCCUUAAGAUUGAGUAAAUUUUAGGGACCAUCUUCAAGCAACCAGCGAAAUCACAGUCUAAUCUGGCAGAUCUGUCCACCACCGGUCUCUCUCCACCGUAUUAGCAAUAAACAUAGGUACUUCUUUUAACAAAUAAGUCAUUUCUCCUCUCCUUAUUCCUUCUGUAGCUAAGAGAUGUACUACUUCGUUCCCACAUCUCGAUGCAUGUCUGAAAAUACAUCUUCGAUAAUUCUCACUAAGUGAUCUCGAAUCCAUAGUAUAUGCACUAAUUUCAUAUCCAUCUUGCCUAUCUGCAUGAAGCAUUUUCACCAUUGUAAGCGCAUUAACUUUAAUCUCCAUAUUUUGAAAACCCAAAUCAAGGCCGAUCUGAACCUCCUGGAAGCAUGCAAAAGCCUCCGCAGCAAAAGCCAAAGGUAUGUGAUUAUCUAUUAUCAUACUGGAUCCUAACACCAAACCGAUCGAGUUUCUAACCACAAUCCUGGUACAUGACCUCUUUGUAUGGUUUUAAAAAGCAACAUCAUAAUUAAUCUUCAUAAAAGGGAUCUCCACGGCUUUCAUUGUUCAGUUUCCACCUUCUUAACAGGUAAUUUAUGGUUGGUUACAUCUAAUUCUCGAAUAUAUGAAAUGAUUAAAUUGGUUGUGUUCUAAACUGUCUGUCUGUUCUCUUCAUGAACUACUUUACUCCUUGUUAUCCAUAUUCCCAAAUUGCACAAGCCAUAAUCCUACAAUGGUCAUUUGAAUGAUUCGAAAAAAUAUAUGCCAACCACUCCUAAUAUUCUGAGUUUAAGACUUCAUAAGGCCAUUGAAUAUUUAACUCAUGCCAUAUAUCCUUUGCAGUGGAGCAAUCUCGAAAAAUAUGUUCUAAGUUUCAACUCUAUUGGAGCAUUUGGGACAAGUUACUGAACCAACCGUCUUCUGUAAUGUAAAUUGUUAAAAGUAGGAUGGAAAACUUGUCAAUUUGUGAUCUUCACCUUAGCUGGUAGAUCGAGUUGCCAUAACUUGUAAAAGAAUUUUCUAUCUGCUUCUCACUAUAUACUUACCCGAAGCUUCACCUCGCCAUACAAGUUUAUCAUCAUUUAGAACUCAAGCAAGGGGAAUGCAUAGGAUUCUUUCUGCUUCACCAUCACUAAAGGUACUUGACUGCUAUCAUGCAUGUGCGUUAAAACAAAUAAAUUUAUAAAAACUAUUUUUGAAAAACAGUUUUAACUGCAAACGUAUAGUGUCAGUUGUAAUAUUUAUAAUUCUGAUGGAACAUAGAGUAUUCCAAGGGGUCGAACUCAAGGGAGGAGGCAUUGAGCAACUCCUAGCUAAGAGCAGACAAAGAAGGAGUUUAAAAAAUUAAUCGCUAAAAGCUAUAUUACGAAAAAUUGUAAAAUAAAGAGUGAUUAAACUAAUUAUCUAUUAGCUACCUAAAGAAUUAAAUCGUAAAGGAUGCAAAGUUAUGAAAUUCACAAAUAACUAAAAAACGGUGGUUGGUUGAAUUUGAUGUGGUUCACUAAUCAUUCAAUUAAGACUCUAAAUUGCUUAAACUCCUAAAGUGGUUCCAUUUUACCUCUUGCUGUCAACUUUACCAAGUUAGGCAAAUUAGUCCGAUUUAUCUUUCGAUCUCGCUAGCUAACCCGGGACUAAAGAAUUGGUGCUCAACAAGAUUACCUCUCGAUCUCACUUGCCUGAAUAUUCCUUUAGGGUCAUCAAUCCUAAGUUUUUAUGUUCAUUCAAUUUGGUCUAUUUUUUGCAAUUUAGUCCUUUAACCAAAAAUUAGCUUAUUCGUAUCUCCAUCAACCAACCCCUUUGGAAGUUUAGUUACUCAUGUUAAAAGCUAAACUAACAAAGAUAAAAAUAACAACCAUGGAAGCCAUUGAAGAAAAUUUUAAGAAAAAUAAUAAAGUUGGGAUUUUUAAUGAGGAAAACUUAAAAGAAAAGAAAAGAUGAACAUCUAACAGUAAAGUAAGAAGCAAGGAACAUGAAAGGUAAAGGCUUUAACAAUUGAAACUAAAGGAAACUGAAAAUAUAUUAAACAAAUAUGAAAAUGUCAAUACAAGUAAAAAAUGGUCUAAAAGUGCAAUUUAACCCUAGUUACAGUAAUAACUAACUUUACUAACAAUAAGAACACCAAGAACGACAUCAAAUUGCAAGAGAAAUAAACACUAUACGAAGGAAGAAGAUGAUAAGAAGAAACCCUAGAAAAUGGGAAAGAAAACUUAAGAGAAAACUAAAGGAAAACUAAGCAAAAAGAUUAAACUAGUGUAGCAUUCUCUCUUCUCAGGCAAUUGUGAUUGAUUUAGCAACAUAUUCUAAUCCCUUUUUUUGACCAAAAUAUCCUUGAAUGGGCCUCCCUUGAUUGGUGCUUCGAUUGGACAAACAUUACCCCUAGCGUCAUUUUUUGUCCCCUCACGACAGUGAUAUUGUGAUACAUAGGGUUGGAUAUCGCAAUAUCGUCGUCAAUCUUGAAAUAAGGUAUUUCCUUGUCACAUGGAUAUCACGAUACCCAAGGAGGAUAUCACGAUACCAUUGUAGCCUGCCUUAAUCCUGGGAUUGAUGGGGUAUCGCGAUUCUACUAUUUCGAUGUCGUAAGACUCCUUCUUUGGUAAUGUUUUGUACAAAUUCGAGCCUCCGACAAGUACCUACAACACUAAAUCGAAGGUUAGGCCCCCUAAUGACAAAAUUGGCCAAUUUAGAUCUCAAAAAUGAGAAAAAUGAGGUAUUUACACUUAUUCAAAUGAAAACCUAAAAAAUAUGGAAAAUUCUUGCCAUUACUCAAAAACAAGCUACUUAAGUAUAACGAGAAAGCCUAAUUUGACUUAUCAAAUUAUAACAGAUUAAUGCUAUUAAUCAAAUUCUCUUUACAAAGUCUUGUGUUUGGAUGAAUCAGAUCCGUGACCAUAUAUAUAUUUGAGUUGCUAACAUUGCUCUAGAUCAUAUAGUCUGUGGAACUUGGAAUCCAAGCAUCAGCCCAAACUGAGAUUUUGGUCCUUGUUCCCACCCGCUAGCACAUACCUGUUUGGAGGAGCCCUCUUACGGCCCAAAUGCUUUUCCAGGUUUAUGAUGGGUGAGUUCCUAACCUGACAUUUAAAAAUUUUGAUUCCAAAUAAUAUUUAGCUUUCAACGUGCGUGUCAAUAAAGAAUUUGGUUGACAAAUCAGUCGCCACCCCUGUUUGGCAAGUAGUGCCAAAUUAUUUUUUUUAAACACCGAAAACCAUACCACUGUUCUCUUUAAGGCAUAAUCUAAUCCACCCACACCAAUGAAUUCCACACUUUCCAUGAUGUUUCUGCCACCAAAACUUGCUAAUAAUAUAUUCCAUAUCCAAACAAAGAGAAUUAGGCAACAUAAAACAUGACAUCCAAUAAUUCGGGAUAUUCUGUAAAAUAGCUUUGAUAAAAACUUCCUUGCCUCCUUGGGAGAGUUCUUUAAUACACCAACUAUUUAUUUGACUGUUUGUAACAGCUAGAUUUUAGGCCUAGUCGAAACAGCGGUUUUGGGAUCACAAAUCCGAUAAGGAAAAAUUUAUUUUUAUUAUAUAUUUAGGGUCUACGGUUUCAUGAAAUGAUUUUGUGAAAAUUUCGUUAAAAAAUUUCGACGUUUGGGCACUCAAUUUAGUUAAAAGGUCUAAAUUGUAAAAAGUGCAAAAGUUGAGUUCUACAUGUUAGAGGUUCUUAAAUGGAAUUAGACUAUUGUUUAAUUUUUUGGGACAAAAAUGGUUAUGAAAUAGGUGAAAUAAAAUAUUUUUAAGUUAGGGGCAUUUUGGUAAUUUAGUAAUUAAAAUGAAUUAAAAACAAAAUUAAAAGCCAAUUUUUGUCCAUCUUCAACUCCAUGGCCGAAUUUCACAAGGGGAAACCAUGGCUAGGGUUUUUCAAGCUUUCAAGCUCGAUUGUAAGUCUGUUCUAGCCCCAUUUUUAAUGAUUUUUACAUUUUUGAGAUCCUCGUAACUCGGUUUAGCUAUUUCUACCAUUAUUUUGAGCUAGGGUUGUUGUUUAAAAAUUUAUCCAUAGAUGAAAUACAUGUUUUUUGAUGUUUUAUGGAAGAAUAUGAAAGUUUGGAGUGUGAUAAACAACUUUUACUAAGUGAUUUUUUAUGAAAUUUCAUAAAAGGACCUAUUUGUAAAAGUUGUAAAAUAUGUGUAGAAAAUGUGAUUUAGUGAAAAUGUGGCUACUAUAAGAGGGAAUAUGAAUCGGCUAGGCUUGGGUAUUGAGAAAAAUGGAUACAUUUUAUUUUAUGAGCCUAGGGGUAAAUUUGUAAAUAUGUGAAACUUUAGGGGCAAAAAUGUAAUUUUUCCAUAAUAUGAUUUUUGGACUGAUUUGAAUAGUAUAAUAAUUUAAUAAGUUGAAUUUGAUAUUAUAGAUCAAUAAAAACAAAGUUCAGACUUAGAACGGGGGAAAAACGAGUAUUGGACGAUUUGGUCUUUUUCGCCAUUUUAGGUCGAGGUAAGUUCGUAUGUUAAUAAAUGUUAUUGAUUUGUGUUAAUUAUGCAAUAUUAUUAUAUAUUUGAUUAAAUUUUAAGAAUUAAAGUAAACAUUCGAAUUGAGUAAAAAAGUAGUAUCGAUCACGAUCGUUGCGUAGUGUAAUAUGAAUUGACGGUAAAAGACCGUGGUUAGACCAUAGCAAUGGGCUAAGUGAAAUAAGACCAUGACAUCUAAGUGAAAUAAGUCCAUGGCAAUGUGCUAAGUAAAAUAAGACCGUGGCAAUGUGCUAAGUGAAAUAAGACCAUGGCAUCUAAGUGAAAUAAGUCCAUGGCAAUGUGCUAAGUGAAAUAAAUCCACGGCAUAUAAGUGAAAUAAGUCCAUGGCAUGGUGCUAAGUGAGAAAUUUCUUAGUUGAACCUUAGGAAUAAAAUAACUUUGGACACAAGUGUGGUACUAUGUGAAGGCUACUUUGUGAAUAAAAUUGCUUUGGACACAAGUGUGGUACUAUGUGAAGCCACUUUGUGAAUAAAAUAGCUUUGGCUACAAGGAUGGUACUAUGUGAAGGCCACCGUGUAUCUAUUAUUAUUCCGAUGUGUUCAACGGGAAAUGACUAGGUGUAAUUGAAUAUGACUAUGUGAUGAAUAAGUGCAGGUACAUGUGUGUAAACUUAUGAGCAAUGUGCUCGAUAUGUGAUCGAACUUUGGUAAGAUUGAUAUGGAAUAAAUGUUAUAGUGAAAGUUACUACAAAGAAAACAUGAAAGAGUGAAAUUUAGUAAUAAAACAGUUUUGGACAACAGCAGUUAUAUGAAUUUCAAAAAUCACCAAAAAUGAUGAAAAUAGAAUUAUAGGUUGAAUAAGAUAUAAAACUAAAGCUUAUUGAGUAUAUUUUCACAUAAAAUAAAUAGUGUAAGCAAAAUAAUUUCAUAUUACGAGAUAUUUGAAUUUUUGUAAGACAAGGUUAGAAUAAUUUCGAAAUCCCCUAUUUUGACUUUGGAAAAUCAUUAAAAAUUGUAUAAAAAUAAUUAUUGGUUAUAUUUUAUAUUUUUAAAAUUACUAUUGAGUUUAUUUUCAAUAGAAACAAACAAGAAUAUCAUCUAAAUCUCAUACAAUGAGAUAAUUAAUUUUUAGUGAAAAAGGGUUGAAACUGUCAAACAGCAAAAUAGGGGAGACUUUAAAGAAUAAACUGUACUUAUUGGCUAGACCAAAAAUUCUGAAAAUUUUAUGGUAAGAAUAUAUGUGAGUCUAGUUUCAGGAAAAAUUAGCGGAUCUUAAUUUGAAGUUCUGUAGCUCAAGAUAUAAAUAAUUUAGUGACUGUGACUCGAGUAGAUAGCUUGAGGUGAACAAGAGUAAAUAGUGGAACUAUGUGCAAUUAUGAUUGUAUUAUCUUGAGAACAUAUUGUGAGUAUUGGUAAAAGUAUGUUAAUAAAUUUCUUAUUAUUUACAUACCAACUUACUAAACUAUAUAGCUUAAUCCGUUUAUUUUCUGUGUUUGUAAUGUCCUUAGGUUAGCUCGGGUUGGAAGUUGCCAGAGAACCUAUCACACUAUCAAACUAACAAAAUUGAUGAUUCUUAUACUUAAGGUCAUGGCAUGUAUAGGCGACUUCGUUAUUUUUGUAUGUGUCAUAAUUGUUUUGGCCGAAAAUGUUGGCCUAUGCUAUUUGAAAGUUCAUUGUUGUGUAAGGCCAUUUGAUGUUGGUAUAUUGGCUAUAUUAUAACUCCAUGAUAAUGCAUUUCAAGGAUGUGUAUGCAUACAUAUGUGGAUGAAUGAGUGGUGAUAUCUAUGUGUGACGUAAAUUUGUAUGCAACAACAAGUCAGAUUAGUGUACGGGCUAGGGACAUGGCCAUGCGAGCCACACGGCUAUGUCCU